RNAcentral lists this long non-coding RNA (3897 nucleotides) under Homo sapiens (human). RNAcentral's name for it is "HSALNT0327244". Lineage: Eukaryota; Metazoa; Chordata; Mammalia; Primates; Hominidae. The record is from RNAcentral.
GAGGACUGAAAGGAGUGGUUGCAUCAGGUCUCCCCCACCCUUCUGCCUCCUGCGGUUGCGGCUUUAUUGUGGCCUCUGCUCCCCUGACACCUGCAUUUCACUUAGCGGGAGAGGCGGUGGCCAACUCAGCACAGGCUGCGGACUCAGCGUGGUGACAGAUCCCUCAAGCUAGAAGACUUCUGUUAGGAGAAGCGUUAUCCUGUCAGUUGAUUACCCUGAGUUAUUAUUAUUGCUGUUUGACAGAUGAAAAACUGACAUGGAGAAAAGUUAGACAAUUCCUCCAAAUCACAAAGAUAAUGCCUAGAUCUAGAAGCCAAACAGAUGGGUUGAAGGUGAUACCUAAUUUUAACAUUUGAUGACUCCUGCCAAAUUACCCUCUGAAAAGAAUUUAACAAUUUAUAUUCCUUCCACAUCAUUGCCUCUUUCCCCACAUCAUAAUGUAAGUCUUCUUAUUUUUUACUCACCAAAGGGAGAGAAAUAUUUACUGUUUAAAACUGAGCACCUUUUAAACUGCUUUUCUUUCUUUAUUGGCUUAACUCUUCAAGAUGUGUCUUUUUUCUGAUUGGACUAUUGUUUUUAUCUUUACUGGCUUUUAGAAGCUCUUUAUAUAAUCUGGAUAAUAAGCUUUCGUCAUCAAUAUAUGUUGCAGAUAUUUCCUCUCAGUGUGUCAUCAGAUUUUGUAUUUAUGUCUAUUUAUUAUGUCUGUGACCAUACAAAUUAUUAAAUUUCUUAUAAGGUUAGGCUAAGCUUCUUUCUUUAUGAGUUAAUGGGGGUUGUCUGUCUUAGAAAGGAUCUCUCAUUCCAAACCUUAAAACUAUUCUCCUAAUAAUUUUAGAUUUGUUCAACUGAGAGAGUGCUUAACUCAGGAGAUCAAUAAAGGUUCAUAGAGGAAGAAGUAUUUGAAAUUGUCCUGGAAGAACAAUAUUUUUCAACAGGCAGAGAUGGAGAAAGGACAAUCUACAUGAACAGAACAGCAUGAGCAAAAAGAACUGGUAGAAAUAUAUUGAGCUUAUUCUUGAAAAUAGCUAGCAGUUUACUCCUCCUUUCUUUUGUAUACUAACAGCAGCACACUGAACAAACUGUUCUGUCAUCUUGUUUUUAUCACUUACCAUAUCUUUGAAAUAUUUCCAUAACCAUCAUAAGGAGUAUCCCUAUUGCUUUUUGAGCAAUGCAUAGAAUUCCAUUUUGUGUGAAUAUCAUAAUUUAUCACUCUUCUAUUUUUAUCACUCCUCUGUUGAUGAUGACUUCCAGUCUUUUGAUAAUAUAAACAGUGCUGUAGUAAAUAAAGUUCUGUAUAUGUCUUUUCCCACAGGUUAGAGACUAUCCAUAGGAUAAAUUUCUAGCAAAUUGCUGAGUCCAGGAUAUGCAUGUUUGCAAUUUUGGAAGAUCUUAAAAACUUGCCUCCUAUAGGUGUUGUACCAGUAUAUACUUCUGCCAGUAAUAGAUGGGUGGGCUGCUGAUGCCUCAAAAUGUAAGUAUUUUCAAACUUUUAAAUUUUAGCCCAUUUAACAUAAUUUAAAAAUUAUGUCUCUGUGUGAUUUUAGUUCCAUUUCCCUUAUUAUAUAUAAGACUGAACAUCUUGGCAUAUGUUUAAGGGCCAUCUGCAUUUCCUUUUCUGUGCACUGUCAGCUUAUAUGCUUUGCCCAUUUUUUCUAGUAGAUGGUUAGUGUUUUUCUUAUUGAUUUGUAUAUAUUCUGUAUUACUCCUUUAUCACAUUGCCACAAAGAAAUGCCUGAGAUGGUGUCAUUUAUAGAGAAAAGAGGUUUAAUUGGCUCACAGUUCCACAGGCUAUACAGGAAGCAUGGCUGAGGAGGCCUCAGGAAACUUAACAAUCAUGGCAGAAGGUGAAGGGGAAGCAGGCACAUCUACACAUGGCCAGAGCAGGAGGAAGAGAGAGAAGGAAGAGGUGCUACACCCUUUUAAGCAACCAGAUCUUGUGAGAUCUCACUAUCGUGAGAAUAGCAAGGAGGAAAUCUGCCCCCAUGAUUCAGUCACCUCCUGCCAGACCCCUCCUCCAACAUUAGGGAUUACAAUUCGACACGAGAUUGCCGGUGGGACACAAAUCCAAACCAUAUCAUAUUCUUUAUACAUUUGGGAAAUUAACUUUUUUCUGUAAUAUGAUUUACAAAUAUUUUUCUCAGAUUGGCAUUUGUUUUUUGACUUUUCAUAUUGUGCAUUUUGCCAUGGGAAGUUUUUUUUGUCAUUAAAUUUACCUAUUCUUUCAUUCAUAUGGCUUCUGGGUCCUAUAUUAUACUUAGACCUUUACCAUUCUGAAAUUAUGUAAGAAAAAUUCUCUCAGGGUUUUUUCCUAGUAAUUUUAAGACUUUACUUUUAAUAUUUUGGAUUUAUCCAGAUGUAGACUAUAAGAUAAGGAUCCACAUUUUUUCCCCAGCUCUACAUUUUGCUGCUAGAAGAUUUUACAAAAUUUUGCAAUUACUUAGUAACUUACAUUUCUUCCCAAUUGAUUUUGAAAUCUGUAAGAGCAGAAACUUUGAUUUCAUAUUUUUAUUCUCUCACAUGCCUGCCCUUUAAUGCACUUCAACCCCAGCCCCAAGUUUUGCCUAGUACUUGGCAGUUAGGUAGUUGUUACUUCUGCAUCUCUUGACUGCUGGGGAGGAAAGAUUCCACCUGAGUUAAGGCAAGUCCUACCCAGGAUGUGGCUGCAAAUGAGACUGCAAAGUUCUCGACCGAUGUCUUUUCAUUAAACUCUGGCUUUUACCAAGUACAAGUACCAAGUGAGUCAUACCGACACAUGUAGAGGAUGGCAUCCUGAGGGGAAAAGAAUUAUAGUGGAAAUAACCAAGGCUGCUUGGAGAAAAGCUUCUCAGCUGGCACUGCAGAACAGCAGCCACUGCCACAGCAAACAGCAAAACAAUAACAAGCUUACUUGCAGAAGGUGGGAAGCUGCAGACGUAAAUGCAGGCUCCCUUCCCAGGCUACCAGCAGUCCCUGGGGAUGAAGUAGUCUAAAUGGGCAGCAGUUGUGGAGUCCUCCCCGCUCACAGGAAUGGAAGAUGUCACUCACUAGCAGAAGUGCUCUGGGGUGGCAAUGAGGAGUACUGUCUUUGGACUCUGACAGGAACAUCUGGAUGGCACCAGGCUCAGGGAGACGGGUCUUGUGUGUCCUGCUAAGCACUAACAGCAAUAAUUGAGCAGCAGCAAUCUGCCUCACAUCAUUCUAGGCCCUAGGAGGGCACAAAGUUGGUUCUUGGCUCAGGUUAUCAGGAAAGUAACGUAUGUGCGUACAAAUAAAGUGUCCAACAGCAGAAAGGGAUGCCCUGAACAGUCCAGGUUGCACAAAGGAGUAUGGACAAACAAGUAGUUUCAUCCAGCUGGGAGCACUAGGAAAGCUCAGAAGGAGGAUGCCUCCAGGAGCCAGUGAGUGUAUUCUGUCACCAGGUGCCUUGGAGAGUGGAGGAUCUGGAGGGCACUUUUUGAGGCUGAUAGGAAGAAAGCAGACGGGUGGAGUGGUAGAUGGAAUGACGCCCUCACCCUCUGCAAUGUUCACAUUCUAAUCCCUGAGAUAUGUGAAUAUGUUACUCUAGCUGACAAAAGGGACUUUGCAGAUGUGAUUAAGGAUUUUGAGCUGGGGAGGUGACUCUGAAUUACAUGAAUGGGCCCAGUAUAAUCACAAGGGUCCUUAUAAUAGGGAGACUGGAGUGUCAGAGUCACAGAUGAGCUGUGAUGAUGGACGCAGUGGUGAGAGAGAGAUGUGAAGAUGGAAGGAGAGGGCCAUGGGCCAAGGAAUGUGGGUGGUCUCUAAAAGCUGGAAAAGGCAAGAAAAUGGAUCCUCCCCUAGAGACUCCAGCAGGAACAAAACCCUGCUGACACCUUGACUGUAGGACUUCCAACCUCCAGAACUAUAAAAUAAUAAAUUCAUGUUGUUUUAAACCACUAA